UGUUAUAGAUCCAUCAAUUUC
Molecule: non-coding RNA, 21 nt
Organism: Caenorhabditis elegans
Lineage: Eukaryota; Metazoa; Nematoda; Chromadorea; Rhabditida; Rhabditidae
Source: Ensembl